RNAcentral lists this ribosomal RNA (207 nucleotides) under uncultured bacterium. RNAcentral's name for it is "partial 16S ribosomal RNA". It matches the Rfam family "Bacterial small subunit ribosomal RNA", at positions 568 to 774 of the family's 1533-position model. The record is from RNAcentral.
CGCGUAGGCGGCUUUGUAAGUCUGAAGUGAAAGUCCUGCUUUCAAGGUGGGAAUUGCUUUGGAUACUGCAGAGCUUGAGUGCAGGAGAGGUAAGUGGAAUUCCCAGUGUAGCGGUGAAAUGCGUAGAGAUUGGGAGGAACACCAGUGGCGAAGGCGACUUACUGGACUGUAACUGACGCUGAGGCGCGAAAGUGUGGGGAGCAAACA